UGAGCGCCGCAGGUGCAGUCGGAUUAAGUGAUGAAAGGGCUGUAAAGAAAUACUGAAAAGACAUGUAGCGUGAUAACAGGCGGCUGCAUAAAGACACGACGAGAUAAACUAGCUUCUCUUAAGCAUCUGUGUUUACGUUUUUGUUUUAAAUAUUAGCAAGUAUGCUUCCUAUGCACACACCAAAUCAGCACUUUAUUUCAUAAGAGUGCCUGGAUUGCCUUCUUACCAAACCACUUUUCAGAAUAACUGAUGAAGGAAAUAG
Long non-coding RNA from Epinephelus fuscoguttatus (brown-marbled grouper), 262 nucleotides. RefSeq lists it as uncharacterized. The record is from RefSeq and is a predicted model, not a curated record. The transcript is spliced from 3 exons. Lineage: Eukaryota; Metazoa; Chordata; Actinopteri; Perciformes; Serranidae.